Long non-coding RNA from Caretta caretta (loggerhead turtle), 2130 nucleotides. RefSeq lists it as uncharacterized. The record is from RefSeq and is a predicted model, not a curated record. Lineage: Eukaryota; Metazoa; Chordata; Testudines; Cheloniidae.
AGGCGCUCCCCGCCAUAGAGGACCCGGAGCGGCUCCUCGAGGAGCUGCUGGGCCGGGGGCAGGAGCAUUGGGGCGAGCGCGGCGGCGGCGGCGGCGCUUGUUGUCUGGGCCGGGCGUGCCGCGGGGGGCAGCGCAGAGGGCGUUAGCGUGCCGGAGCCGGAGCCGGCCCGCGCCAGUCCCCGGGGGUGGCCGCCCCUGGCUGCGCAGCCCCCACAUCCCCCAGAAACGGGCUUUAGCCCCCUCCCGUCCAAGACCCAGCGGGCUCCCCGGCCUUGGUAGAGCUGCUCCCGGGUGGGGGGGACCAGGCGGCAAGGGUGAGAAGCCAGGACGGGGGUGGGGGGUAUUAGGUGCCUAUAUAAGAAAAAGUCCCCCCCCCCAAGUCGGGAUUGUCCCUAUAAAAGGGGGACGUCUCGUCACCCUACUCCCCGCGCCACGGUGCGAGGCGGGAUUUUGCAGACGUUAAGGGUGCGCGCAGAAUUCCCGCCCCCCAGUAAUGGGCUGCAGAGAGGUUGGCCGCCAUGGGGCUGCUGGGCCCGGCAGAGGCCAGCUCACACAUAGAGGUAGUGCCUAUGAGCCCCAUUCACGGACCAGAACCCUACUGUGGUAGGCACUGCACAAACAUGUCGCAGAAAGAUGGUCCCUGCCCCAAGGAGUUGAUGUAAGUACUAUCUGCUUCCUCCUUGCACAGAAAAUCAAAAAUGUACAGUACAUUUGUUGCUAUUAAACGCUUGACAACACAGUGGGCCAAAUUUUCUGCUGAGAAUGGGCAAAACUCCAUUUAAGUCAAUGGAGCGCUGUCCAUUUACAGCAGCAGAGAAUUUACCCAUAUUUUGCAAUAUUCCAAAUUCUGGAUCCUUGAUGUAAAUUGGUGUAGCUCCAUUGUAGUCAUUGGGGUCAGAUUCUCAGUUGGUGUAAAUCAGCAUAGCUCUACUGAAGUCAGUUUACACCAGCUGAGACUCUGGCCCUGUAAGUGCAUUGUAGGAGAGGAAAUGUCACAAACAGCAGUGUUAUGAAGUGGCUGAAACUGUGUUAGGGUUGAUUUAAAACCUCACUGAGAUUGGUAGGUGUGAAUACUCCCUUCAGUUAACAUAACUGUGAGGAUAAGUUGAUCAAAAUCCUCCAUCUAAGACAAAAUGGUUAUGUGAGCCUGCCCAGGACUUUUGGACUCUGUGGGCGGAGGGUUUUUUGCUGAGUUAUUGUUUCAGGUAAGGAUGUCUGUAUGUGGGGAAAGGAGAACACAGAACCACAGAGAGGUCAGCGUGAAGAAAUCCAAGCAGAACCCUGUGAGCAUGGCAUGACCCUGAUAUAAACCUUGAGAGAAGUUCUGGGUCAGGGAUGCUGGCUGAAAAGAAGUGUGAGCCUAGUAGCAGCCAUGUUAGUCUGUAUCAGGCCCAACAAAGAAAAUAACAGAACGCCACUAGCCAUCAUCUUCAGCUCCCAACUAAAACCUCUCCAACGCAUCAUUGAGGAUCUACAACCUAUCCUGAAGGACGACCCAUCACUCUCACAAAUCUUGGGAGACAGGACAGUAAUUGCCUACAGACAGCCCCCCAACCUGAAGCAAAUACUCACCAGCAACCACACACCACACAACAGAACCACUAACCCAGGAACCUAUCCUUGCAACAAAGCCCGUUGCCAACUCUGGCCACAUAUCUAUUCAGGGGACACCAUCACAGAGCCUAAUAACAUCAGCCACACUAUCAGAGGCUCGUUCACCUGCACAUCCACCAAUGUGAUAUAUGCCAUCACGUGCCAGCAAUGCCCCUCUGCCAUGUACAUUGGUCAAACUGGACAGUCUCUACGUAAAAGAAUAAAUGGACACAAAUCAGAUGUCAAGAAUUAUAACAUUCAUAAACCAGUCGGAGAACACUUCAAUCUCUCUGGUCACUCAAUUACAGACCUAAACGUUGCAAUAUUACAACAAAAAGACUUCAAAAACAGACUCCAAUGAGAGACUGCUGAAUUGGAAUUAAUUUGCAAACUGAAUACAAUUAACUUAGGCUUGAAUAGAGACUGGGAGUGGAUGUGUCAUUACACAAAGUAAAACUAUUUCCCUAUGUUUAUUUCCCCACCCCCCCGCUCUUCCUCAGACGUUCUUGUCAACUGCUGGAAAUGGCCCACCUUGAC